RNAcentral lists this unclassified non-coding RNA (195 nucleotides) under plant metagenome. RNAcentral describes it as "partial contains small subunit ribosomal RNA, internal transcribed spacer 1, and 5.8S ribosomal RNA". The record is from RNAcentral.
UCUCCGUUGGUGAACCAGCGGAGGGAUCAUUACCGAGUUUACAACUCCCAAACCCCUGUGAACAUACCAUUUGUUGCCUCGGCGGUGCCUGCUUCGGCAGCCCGCCAGAGGACCCAAACCCUUGAUUUUAUACAGUAUCUUCUGAGUAAAUGAUUAAAUAAAUCAAAACUUUCAACAACGGAUCUCCUGGUUCUG